RNAcentral lists this non-coding RNA (26 nucleotides) under Homo sapiens (human). Lineage: Eukaryota; Metazoa; Chordata; Mammalia; Primates; Hominidae. The record is from RNAcentral.
UCCUACACAGGACUGGCAUGCUGGGC